This 512-nucleotide ribosomal RNA is filed under the name uncultured bacterium. RNAcentral's name for it is "partial 16S ribosomal RNA". It matches the Rfam family "Bacterial small subunit ribosomal RNA", at positions 28 to 507 of the family's 1533-position model. The record is from RNAcentral.
GAUGAACGCUGGCGGCGUGCCUAAUACAUGCUAGUCGAACGAAACUUCUUUAUCACCGAGUGCUUGCACUCACCGAUAAAGAGUUGAGUGGCGAACGGGUGAGUAACACGUGGGCAACCUGCCCAAAAGAGGGGGAUAACACUUGGAAACAGGUGCUAAUACCGCAUAACCAUAGUUACCGCAUGGUAACUCUGUAAAAGGUGGCUAUACUACCGCUUUUGGAUGGGCCCGCGGCGCAUUAGCUAGUUGGUAGGGUAAAGGCUUACCAAGGCAAUGAUGCGUAGCCGAAUUGAGAGGUUGAUCGGCCACAUUGGGACUGAGACACGGCCCAAACUCCUACGGGAGGCAGCAGUAGGGAAUCUUCCACAAUGGGCGAAAGCCUGAUGGAGCAACGCCGCGUGGGUGAAGAAGGUCUUCGGAUCGUAAAACCCUGUUGUUAGAGAAGAAAGUGCGUGAGAGUAACUGUUCACGUUUCGACGGUAUCUAACCAGAAAGCCACUGCUCACUACGUG